RNAcentral lists this ribosomal RNA (506 nucleotides) under uncultured bacterium. RNAcentral's name for it is "partial 16S ribosomal RNA". It matches the Rfam family "Bacterial small subunit ribosomal RNA", at positions 28 to 523 of the family's 1533-position model. The record is from RNAcentral.
GAUGAACGCUAGCGGCAGGCCUAACACAUGCAAGUCGAGGGGCAGCACAUAAAGUGGUUUACUACUUUUAGUGGCGACCGGCGGACGGGUGCGUAACGCGUAUGCAACCUGCCUCCAACAGGGGGAUAACGGAGAGAAAUUUCCACUAAUACCCCAUAAUAUCAGAAUCGGCAUCGGUUUUGGUUGAAAACUCCGGUGGUUGGAGAUGGGCAUGCGUUGUAUUAGAUAGUUGGUGAGGUAACGGCUCACCAAGUCAACGAUACAUAGGGGGACUGAGAGGUUAGCCCCCCACACGGGUACUGAGACACGGACCAGACUCCUACGGGAGGCAGCAGUGAGGAAUAUUGGUCAAUGGGGGCAACCCUGAACCAGCCAUGCCGCGUGCAGGAAGACGGCUCUAUGAGUUGUAAACUGCUUUUACAAGGGGAUAAAUCGGUGUACGUGUACACCGUUGAAGGUACCUUGGGAAUAAGGAUCGGCUAACUCCGUGCCAGCCGCCGCAGUAA